RNAcentral lists this long non-coding RNA (232 nucleotides) under Populus trichocarpa (black cottonwood). Its description in RNAcentral is "long non-coding RNA (PTRI_LNC003500)". The record is from RNAcentral. Lineage: Eukaryota; Viridiplantae; Streptophyta; Magnoliopsida; Malpighiales; Salicaceae.
AAAAAACCAGAAAAAAAAAAUAACCGAAAAAACCGAACCGAAAAAAAAACCGAAUUAACCGAUUAAAAAAUCAUAAAAAAAUUCCGGUUCGGUUCGGUUUCGGUUUCCAAAGUUUGAAACCGAUUGAACCGAACCGGUUCAACCAUUCCAGCAUUUAAAAAAAAACCAAGUAUAAAUAGAAAAAACCCUAGACCUAAAGUGCAGUUGACGCCCCCCUCUCUUUUCUCUACCU